Molecule: non-coding RNA, 441 nt
Filed under: Acanthaster planci (crown-of-thorns starfish)
Lineage: Eukaryota; Metazoa; Echinodermata; Asteroidea; Valvatida; Acanthasteridae
Source: RNAcentral
CAGAGUGCAACCCUCCCACGUGCAGGCGUUGCAGCUUGCUCUAACCCUAACCUCGCUGUUCGACAGCCGUCAAUCCUCCUGCAGUUUUCAGCUUGUUUCUGUGGGUACCUGGUGGUGCGACCCUCCCCCUAAAAAACUUGCUGUGGUCACUGUGUUGCCUCUGCUUCGUUUGGUCGGGCCAGCUUGACCGGUUGUCCGGCUGACGCGUGUCAACAUGGCGGGUUCAUUGACAGCUGGAUUACAAGUAGGACCGCCUCGUGGUCUAUCAACCCCGACCGUGGUUCCGUCACACGUUGGUGUCAAGAUGAUUACAUGGGCGAUAACCUACCCGUAGAGUCCAGCCUUUUAUGGACUAACACGCAGAGUAAUACUGUCAUUGCUCAUCUCACUUGCCGGCACUUUAAAGCCAUAGGUGUUGGCAACAGGCAAUGCCAAACACAC